UUUCCGUAGGUGAACCUGCGGAAGGAUCAUUAUUGUAUAACCGAGGUGCGAGGGCUGUCGCUGACCCGAAAGGUCGUGCACGCCCGAGUGCCCUCACACGCAUCCAUCUCACCCCUAUGUGCACCACCGCGUGGGUCCCCCUUUGGCUUGUUCGGAGGGGGGCUUACGUUUUCACACAAACUUUGUAUGCAGUGUAGAAUGUAUUUUUUUUUUGCGAUCACGCAAUCAAUACAACUUUCAACAACGGAUCUCUUGGCUCUC
This 261-nucleotide unclassified non-coding RNA is filed under the name plant metagenome. Its description in RNAcentral is "partial contains small subunit ribosomal RNA, internal transcribed spacer 1, and 5.8S ribosomal RNA". The record is from RNAcentral.